This 462-nucleotide ribosomal RNA is filed under the name Babesia venatorum (nom. ined.). RNAcentral describes it as "SSU rRNA". It matches the Rfam family "Eukaryotic small subunit ribosomal RNA", at positions 514 to 1026 of the family's 1831-position model. The record is from RNAcentral. Lineage: Eukaryota; Apicomplexa; Aconoidasida; Piroplasmida; Babesiidae.
AUGAUGGUGACCUAAACCCUCACCAGAGUAACAAUUGGAGGGCAAGUCUGGUGCCAGCAGCCGCGGUAAUUCCAGCUCCAAUAGCGUAUAUUAAACUUGUUGCAGUUAAAAAGCUCGUAGUUGAAUUUCUGCGUUAUCGAGUUAUUGACUCUUGUCUUUAAUCGAUUUCGCUUUUGGGAUUUAUCCCUUUUUACUUUGAGAAAAUUAGAGUGUUUCAAGCAGACUUUUGUCUUGAAUACUUCAGCAUGGAAUAAUAGAGUAGGACUUUGGUUCUAUUUUGUUGGUUUUUGAACCUUAGUAAUGGUUAAUAGGAACGGUUGGGGGCAUUCGUAUUUAACUGUCAGAGGUGAAAUUCUUAGAUUUGUUAAAGACGAACUACUGCGAAAGCAUUUGCCAAGGACGUUUCCAUUAAUCAAGAACGAAAGUUAGGGGAUCGAAGACGAUCAGAUACCGUCGUAGUCU